Molecule: ribosomal RNA, 205 nt
Filed under: uncultured prokaryote
Description: partial 16S ribosomal RNA
Rfam family: Bacterial small subunit ribosomal RNA
Source: RNAcentral
AGAUUGAACGCUGGCGGCAUGCCUAACACAUGCAAGUCGAGCGGCGAGCGCGGGGGCGACCCUGGCGGCGAGCGGCGGACGGGUGAGUAAGGCAUCGGAAACUCUGCCCUGGAUGUGGGGAUAACGUAGGGAAACUUACGCUAAUACCGCAUACGACCGAGAGGUGAAAAGCGGGGGACCGAAAGGCCUCGCGCAGACAGGAACU